ACCUGGCUGGCUCAGUUGGUAGAGCAUGUGACUCUUGAUCUCAGGGUUGUGAGUUCGAGCCUCAAGUUGGGUG
This is a non-coding RNA of Neogale vison (American mink), 73 nucleotides long. Lineage: Eukaryota; Metazoa; Chordata; Mammalia; Carnivora; Mustelidae. The record is from the annotation of a RefSeq genome assembly.